AACGUAGGUGGCAAGCGUUAUCCGGAUUUACUGGGCGUAAAGCGUGUGCAGGCGGGGGUGCAAGUGGUGUAUGAAAUUUCCCAGCUUAACUGGGAAGGGUUAUGCCAGACUGUACUUCUGGAGUGCGAGAGAGGGGCGUGGAAUUCCGGGUGUAGUGGUGAAAUGCGUAGAUAUCAGGAGGAACACCUGUGGUGUAGACGGCUCUCUGGACCGCAACUGACGCUGAGACACGAAAGCGUGGGUAGCAAACAGG
RNAcentral lists this ribosomal RNA (253 nucleotides) under uncultured bacterium. RNAcentral describes it as "partial 16S ribosomal RNA". It matches the Rfam family "Bacterial small subunit ribosomal RNA", at positions 524 to 776 of the family's 1533-position model. The record is from RNAcentral.